RNAcentral lists this ribosomal RNA (433 nucleotides) under uncultured bacterium. RNAcentral's name for it is "partial 16S ribosomal RNA". It matches the Rfam family "Bacterial small subunit ribosomal RNA", at positions 29 to 507 of the family's 1533-position model. The record is from RNAcentral.
AGCGAACGCUGGCGGCAGGCCUAACACAUGCAAGUCGAACGAACUCUUCGGAGUUAGUGGCGGACGGGUGAGGAACACGUGGGAACGUGCCUUUAGGUUCGGAAUAACUCAGGGAAACUUGUGCUAAUACCGAAUGUGCCCUUCGGGGGAAAGAUUUAUCGCCUUUAGAGCGGCCCGCGUCGGAUUAGCUAGUUGGGGAGGUAAAGGCUCACCAAGGCGACGAGCAGUAGCUGGUCUGAGAGGAUGAUCAGCCACAUUGGGACUGAGACACGGCCCAAACUCCUACGGGAGGCAGCAGUGGGGAAUCUUGCGCAAUGGGCGAAAGCCUGACGCAGCCAUGCCGCGUGAAUGAUGAAGGUCUUAGGAUUGUAAAAUUCUUUCACCGGGGACGAUAAUGACGGUACCCGGAGAAGAAGCCCCGGCUAACUUCGUG